This 29-nucleotide non-coding RNA is filed under the name Cricetulus griseus (Chinese hamster). Lineage: Eukaryota; Metazoa; Chordata; Mammalia; Rodentia; Cricetidae. The record is from RNAcentral.
CAAGACAGCUGUGGUUGUGGGGACUGUCA